Molecule: ribosomal RNA, 508 nt
Filed under: uncultured bacterium
Lineage: Bacteria
Description: partial 16S ribosomal RNA
Rfam family: Bacterial small subunit ribosomal RNA
Source: RNAcentral
GACGAACGCUGGCGGCGCGCUUAACACAUGCAAGUCGAGCGAGAACCAGGGCUUCGGCCCUGGGGACAGCGGCGAACGGGUGAGUAACACGUGGAUAACCUGCCCUCGGCACCGGGAUAGCCCGGGGAAACCCGGAUUAAUACCGGAUGGCCCUUCCGGCUCACGAGCCGGUCGGAAAAGGUAGCUUCGGCCUCCGGCCGAGGAUGGGUCCGCGGCGGAUUAGCUUGUUGGUGGGGUAACGGCCCACCAAGGCUCCGAUCCGUAGCUGGUCUGAGAGGACGAUCAGCCACACUGGGCCUGAGACACGGCCCAGACGCCUACGGGAGGCAGCAGUGGGGAAUCUUGCGCAAUGGGCGAAAGCCUGACGCAGCGACGCCGCGUGAGGGAGGAAGGCCUUCGGGUUGUAAACCUCUUUCAGGAGGGACGAAGCUACUCGGGUGAAUAGCCCAGAGGGUGACGGUACCUCCAGAAGAAGCCCCGGCUAACUACGUGCCAGCAGCCGCCGCCG